GACGAACGCUGGCGGCGUGCUUAACACAUGCGAGUCGAACGGAAAGGCCCUGCCUUUGUCUUGUGCUCGAGUGGCGAACGGGUGAGUAACACGUGAGUAACCUGCCCUUGACCUUGGGAUAACUUCAGGAAACUGGGGCUAAUACCGGAUAGGAGCUCCUGCUGCAUGGUGGUGGUUGGAAAGGUUCGGCGGCUGGGGAUGUAGUCGCGGCUUAUCAGCUUGUUGGUGGGGUAGUGUCGUCCAAAGGCUUGGACGGGUAGCCGGACUGAGAGGGUGACAGGGCACAUUGGGACUGAGGUGCGGGCAGGAGUGAUACGGGAGGCAGCAGCGGAGGAUAGAGCGCAAUGCGCCGAAGGCGUAAGGAGCAUCGUCGGGUCGUGGAGGUCGGCUGUCGGGUUGUAAACCGCGUGAGAGUGUGAAGAAGCGUGAGUGACGGUAAUGGGUAAAGAAGCAACGGCUAACUACGUG
Molecule: ribosomal RNA, 468 nt
Filed under: uncultured bacterium
Lineage: Bacteria
Description: partial 16S ribosomal RNA
Rfam family: Bacterial small subunit ribosomal RNA
Source: RNAcentral